AGCUCCAAUAGCGUAUAUUAAAGUUGUUGCAGUUAAAAAGCUCGUAGUUGGAUUUGUGGCUGUCACGGGCGGCCUAUCACUUAGUGUUAGUGCUUGCCUGUGUCGCCAUCCUUGGGUGGAGCCCGUGUGGCAUUAGGUUGUCGUGCGGGGGAUGCCCAUCGUUUACUGUGAGAAAAUUAGAGUGUUCAAAGCAGGCUUAUGCCGUUGAAUAUGUUAGCAUGGAAUAAUAAGAUAGGACCUCGGUACUAUUUUGUUGGUUUGCGCACCGAGGUAAUGAUUAAUAGGGACAGUUGGGGGUAUUCGUAUUCCAUUGUCAGAGGUGAAAUUCUUGGAUUUCUGGAAGACGAACUACUGCGAAAGCAUUUACCAAGGAUGUUUUCA
RNAcentral lists this ribosomal RNA (381 nucleotides) under uncultured eukaryote. RNAcentral's name for it is "SSU rRNA". It matches the Rfam family "Eukaryotic small subunit ribosomal RNA", at positions 587 to 972 of the family's 1831-position model. The record is from RNAcentral.